GUAAUCCCAGCACAUGGGGAAGCCGAGGCAGGUGCAUCACGUGACUCCAGGAGUUCAAGACCAGGAAGGUCGACAUAGCAAAACCACCUCUCUACCGGAAAUACAAAAAUUAGCCAGUUCAUGGUGGCGCACUCCUGUAGUCCCAGCUACUUAUACUUGGGAGGCUGAAGCAGGAAAAUCACUUAAACAUGGGAGGUAGAAGGUGCAAUGAGCCAGUAUCGUGCCAUUGCACUCCAAACUGGGUUUCAGAGCAAGACUCCAUCUCAAAAAAAAAAAAAA
Sapajus apella (tufted capuchin) is the source of this 279-nucleotide long non-coding RNA. RefSeq lists it as uncharacterized. The transcript is spliced from 2 exons. The record is from RefSeq and is a predicted model, not a curated record. Lineage: Eukaryota; Metazoa; Chordata; Mammalia; Primates; Cebidae.